GUGCUCACUUCAGCAGCACAUAUACUAAAAUUGGAAGAAUACAGAGGCAAUUAGCACGGCCUACAUGAAAGGAUGCAAUGCAAUUUGUGAAGCAUUACAUAUUUUU
Pan paniscus (pygmy chimpanzee) is the source of this 106-nucleotide small nuclear RNA. The record is from Ensembl. NCBI's taxonomy places the organism in Eukaryota, Metazoa, Chordata, Mammalia, Primates, Hominidae.